AAUGGGAUUGCUGGACUAUAUGGCAGUUCUAUGUUUAAUUUUUUGAGGAACUUCCAUUCUCUUUUCCAUAAUAGCUGUCCUAAUUUACACUCCCACCGACAGU
RNAcentral lists this microRNA precursor (103 nucleotides) under Marmota monax (woodchuck). Lineage: Eukaryota; Metazoa; Chordata; Mammalia; Rodentia; Sciuridae. The record is from RNAcentral.